UGUAAGAGUUGCUACUUGUCC
Molecule: non-coding RNA, 21 nt
Filed under: Arabidopsis thaliana (thale cress)
Lineage: Eukaryota; Viridiplantae; Streptophyta; Magnoliopsida; Brassicales; Brassicaceae
Source: RNAcentral